Long non-coding RNA from Gadus macrocephalus (Pacific cod), 429 nucleotides. RefSeq lists it as uncharacterized. Lineage: Eukaryota; Metazoa; Chordata; Actinopteri; Gadiformes; Gadidae. The transcript has 2 exons. The record is from RefSeq and is a predicted model, not a curated record.
AGGUAGGGCCGGGACAAGUAGGUCCUGGUAGUUCCGGGACAGGUAGGCCCGGGACAGGUAGUUCCGUUAUAGGUAGGUCUGGGACAGGUGUGUCUGGGACAGGUUUGUCCGGGACAGGUAGUUCCGGGACGGAUAUUUCCGGGACAGGUAGGUCCGGGACAGGUAAGGCCGGGGCAGGUAAUCCGGGAAAGGUAGAUCCGGGACAGGUAGGACAGCUGUAUUCAACACGUUGAUGAUGUUUUCACUCCGUAGUGAGGCUCAGCGAAGGGUUAGUGGUCCAGGGAGUCCUGGGUUAGUCCUGUGUCCGGGACCACAACGACUUGAGCUGUCGAGUGUGACUUAAUUGAAUGACUAGUUGUGAGAGUUAACUAAAUUAAGUUAGUUGUCGAUUGAGUUUACAAAACAGCGAGUUUACAAAGUCGAUGUCGA